GACGAACGCUGGCGGCGUGCUUAACACAUGCAAGUCGAACGGAAAGGCCCUGCUUUUGUGGGGUGCUCGAGUGGCGAACGGGUGAGUAACACGUGAGUAACCUGCCCUUGACUUUGGGAUAACUUCAGGAAACUGGGGCUAAUAUCGGAUAGGAGCUACUGCUGCAUGGUGGGGGUUGGAAAGUUUCGGCGGUUGGGGAUGGACUCGCGGCUUAUCAGCUUGUUGGUGGGGUAGUGGCUUACCAAGGCUUUGACGGGUAGCCGGCCUGGGAGGGUGACCGGCCACAUUGGGACUGAGAUACGGCCCAGACUCCUACGGGAGGCAGCAGUGGAGAAUAUUGCGCAGUGGGCGGAAGCCUGAUGCAGCAACGCCGCGUGCGGGAUGACGGCCUUCGGGUUGUAAACCGCUGUCGCCUGUGACGAAGCGUGAGUGACGGUAAUGGGUAAAGAAGCACCGGCUAACUACGUG
RNAcentral lists this ribosomal RNA (468 nucleotides) under uncultured bacterium. RNAcentral's name for it is "partial 16S ribosomal RNA". It matches the Rfam family "Bacterial small subunit ribosomal RNA", at positions 28 to 507 of the family's 1533-position model. The record is from RNAcentral.